GCACCACUCUGGGCCUGCUGCCCACACUGACUGCGGGGUCCGGGAGAGCGGGAUGCUGGCCGGCCGCGCCUGGCUUCUUGGAAAGAGCAGGAAGGAGCGCGAGAAUGCAGUUCCGCGGCAGGUGAUCAUCCCAGCAGCUUCGGGCUCUCGGUUGUGGUUUUUACACCUAUGACAAAUGACAUGGCCAAACACACCAUAAUGUCUGAAGGUACAGGUAGCCCUAAGCGCCUGCUCGUCACGGAAGAGACUGUCUUGAGAGCACAGAAACCUCUGUAGAGGAGCAGGAUGCAACCGACAGGCUGUGGCCGGACAGCUGCUGCCCAGCACAUGGAGCCUGCACGCGCACGGUUUGGCCAAAGAAGCCCCCAUACUCCCGGUGAAAAAGAUGGAGUCUUGCUCUGUUGCCCAGGCUGGAGUACAGUGAUGUGAUCUCAGCUCACUGCAACCUCCCUCUCCCAGUUUCAAGUGAUCUCCUGCCUCAGCCUCUGGAGUAGCUGGGAUUACAGAUUUCCAGAAGCUGUUCUGUCAAUAACAAAGUCUCAAAACCACAAAACCACCAACACUAAGAUCAUUCUUGAGUCCAAUUUGAAAAACUAGGGUCAAGUUCUGCAGAGGCAUUGAAAGGACAAGAAGCCACCCUAAUACCCAUCGUGUGAGGGAAAAUGCUCUAUUCACCAUUCCUCAGCUUCUGCUUCUGGUUUCAGAGUUCUCUCUAUAUUGGAGGGUGUUUUAAAGCUAGAGUGGUCUUUAUCCACUUUUAUUAACACAUCUGAAUGUGAAGGUCAAGAGAGGAAAGUGAUAUGUCCUAAGUCAGAGUAGAGUCAACAAGAAAAUAAGACAAACAGCAACUGAGCCCCUGGUGUAUACUGGGCAUUGGCCAGCUACUGGGGAUAUGGAGAUGAAGAAAACGUAACCCUUCUUCAAGGAGCCCAACCUACCAAGGUAGACAGACAUAUAGACAAAUAGAUACUUGCAUAGAAAAAAAGAGGAAAAGGGGAUCAGUGUGAUCUGUGUAACUAAGUACCCUAUACAACCCUCCUGCAACAGAUCAUAUUGCCCUUUAUAGUGGGGAUGGUAAUCCCAUCUCUGAAUCCACAGGUACUUUGUAGUCAUACCACACCCAUGUGUCUGUCGGUCCUGACUGUACCAUUUAUAAACAGCUUCACUUUCAGCAGUUCUCAGCCCUCUUAAGCUAGGGUCAUUGUCAGUAGGGAUACUGCUUCACAAGCAUCAGCAGAACACCAAAGGAGACCAUAUGGGUGAAAGCAACCAGCACUG
RNAcentral lists this small RNA (1278 nucleotides) under Pan troglodytes (chimpanzee). Its description in RNAcentral is "processed transcript". The record is from RNAcentral. Lineage: Eukaryota; Metazoa; Chordata; Mammalia; Primates; Hominidae.